AGAGUUUGAUCCUGCUUCAGGAUAAACGCUGGCGGCGUGCUUAACACAUGCAAGUCGAGCGAAGCACUUAAGAAAGAUUCUUCGGAUGAAAUCUUAAGCGACUGAGCGGCGGACGGGUGAGUAACGCGUAGGUAACCUGCCUCAUACAGGGGGAUAACAGUUAGAAAUGACUGCUAAUACCGCAUAAGCGCACAGUGCUGCAUGGCACAGUGUGAAAAACUCCGGUGGUAUGAGAUGGACCCGCGUUGGAUUAGGCAGUUGGCGGGGUAACGGCCCACCAAACCGACGAUCCAUAGCCGGCCUGAGAGGGUGAACGGCCACAUUGGGACUGAGACACGGUCCAAACUCCUACGGGAGGCAGCAGUGAGGAAUAUUAGUCAAUGGGCGAGAGCCUGAACCAGCCAAGUAGCGUGCAGGAUGACGGCCCUAUGGGUUGUAAACUGCUUUUAUACGGGGAUAAAGUGAGCCACGUGUGGCUUAUUGCAGGUACCGUAUGAAUAAGGACCGGCUAAUUCCGUGCCAGCAGCCGCGGUAAUACGGAAGGUCCGGGCGUUAUCCGGAUUUAUUGGGUUUAAAGGGAGCGUAGGCCGUCUGUUAAGCGUGUUGUGAAAUGUCGGGGCUCAACCUGGGCAUUGCAGCGCGAACUGGCAGACUUGAGUGCGCAGGAAGUAGGCGGAAUUCGUCGUGUAGCGGUGAAAUGCUUAGAUAUGACGAAGAACUCCGAUUGCGAAGGCAGCCUGCUGUAGUGCAACUGACGCUGAGGCUCGAAAGUGUGGGUAGCAAACAGGAUUAGAUACCCUGGUAGUCCACACCGUAAACGAUGAUUACUAGGUGUUGGAGGAUUGACCCCUUCAGUGCCGCAGUUAACACAAUAAGUAAUCCACCUGGGGAGUACGGCCGCAAGGUUGAAACUCAAAGGAAUUGACGGGGGCCCGCACAAGCAGUGGAGUAUGUGGUUUAAUUCGAAGCAACGCGAAGAACCUUACCAGGUCUUGACAUCGUAUGCAUAACUUAGAGAUAAGUGAAAUCCCUUCGGGGACAUAUAGACAGGUGGUGCAUGGUUGUCGUCAGCUCGUGUCGUGAGAUGUUGGGUUAAGUCCCGCAACGAGCGCAACCCUUACCUUUAGUUGCUACGCAAGAGCACUCUAAAGGGACUGCCGUUGACAAAACGGAGGAAGGUGGGGAUGACGUCAAAUCAUCAUGCCCCUUAUGACCUGGGCUACACACGUACUACAAUGGCAAUUAACAAAGAGAAGCAAGACAGCGAUGUGGAGCAAAUCUCGAAAAAUUGUCCCAGUUCAGAUUGCAGGCUGCAACUCGCCUGCAUGAAGUCGGAAUUGCUAGUAAUCGUGGAUCAGCAUGCCACGGUGAAUACGUUCCCGGGCCUUG
This 1389-nucleotide ribosomal RNA is filed under the name uncultured bacterium. Its description in RNAcentral is "bacterial SSU rRNA". It matches the Rfam family "Bacterial small subunit ribosomal RNA", at positions 8 to 1383 of the family's 1533-position model. The record is from RNAcentral.